Molecule: non-coding RNA, 1635 nt
Organism: Rattus norvegicus (Norway rat)
Lineage: Eukaryota; Metazoa; Chordata; Mammalia; Rodentia; Muridae
Source: RefSeq, a predicted model, not a curated record
CUCCUCCCUUCUCCUUCAAAGCUUUGUCUCGGCUAUGAAUAUUCAGAUGAGGCGUGAUGUGAUUACACUGUACAAUUACUCCUAUCCAUGGUGGUGGCAGGCGCUGCUGGGGAGAACGAGCCAGACAGCCUCCAAGCCAGUGUGGAGUUUUGUUUUUGGUAUUUUUUUUCCCCUAUCUCCUGGCACCGCGGCACAUGCAGAUGUCGCUGUUGUUCUUUAUAAAGCUCUAAUGACAUGCAAAGGCAUAACGACUUGGUUUGGACGCAAAGCAUCAACUGAAUGUUAUGGAUGUCUUUAAGAAAGAGAAAGAGAAAAUCCUGACUGAAGGAAUGUCCACAUAAAUUAUUUUUAUUUAAAUGAAUUCAAAGGAUGGGGUGAGGGCAAGUGAGGAGUCACAUGGAAAACACGCAUAAUAUUAAUAUGCACAAAGAAUUCUUACGGAGGACAGGCCCCUCACCACAGCUCAUGGGGCAAACAGGUUCAUUAGGAGACAGCUCUGAGCGACUACGGCAUUUUGGUAUUUCGAUUUCUCCCUUAUUUUAAACGAAGAGUCAGACAGAUGUGCUUCCUUUGCUUGGCAGCAUUGAGACGGAUCUAAUCUGUGAAAUUUGCUGCCCAAAUAGCAUUUCUAAUGGAAUCUGGGACUAAACAGGGGCAAGGAUGUGGAAGGGAGGGGAGAAGAGAGAACCCACGAAGAGGAGGCUACUCAGCCAGUGCGAGGCUUUUUGUAGCAAAGGAAGCUGUCAGAAGCCAUCUUUGCGGCACUGGCCCCAGGUGUGGGCUCCUGGUCCAGAGAGCCAUCAGGUUCACCACGAUGAACACUGAGCAGGGCCCUUGUAGGUCUGAGGCAGAGGAAAGCAGCGGCGGCGGCUUGGUGCCCACCCUUUACCCCCUCAGUGGUCUUCAGCUCAGAAGCCAAAAGCACAGCUACUAUUCUGGGUUGCAGUAGAAUGCCUCCUGGUCCAGGCAUUUGUGGAAGAAGGAAUUUCUUGGCGCUCUCGCAGAGUAUGUCGCUAAAGAGCAGAAGGGAUCAUCCGCUGCUUAAGGAGGCCUGAUAAUUGCUGUGCCGGUUGGUUCUCAGGGUCUGGCAUGGCCACAGAAGAGAUGGUGUGAUACUGUUCCCAGUCCUGCAGCAGAGCCAGUAUGACAUGGGACUUCUCGAAUGCUGAAAGUUACUGUAGGCCUAAGGGUCUCCCAGCUAAGCAUUUGCAUCGAGUCUCACAAAAGACCUUGGACUUGGACUUCUGAACAACAUUGAAACUGUCAAUAUUUGGAGGACUCUAGGAGACAGUCUAUGUACAGUUUGCAUUGUGAGAUGGCCGUAAACUUUUCUGGGCUAAGAGCAGAAUGCUAUCGUUUGAAAAUGAAAAUGAAAUGUCCCUUCAAGCUCAGGUUUUAAACCAUUGGUACACAGUUUAGGAGGUGCUAGAACUUAGCUAGAGAAUGUAGCUCACUGGAUAUGGACAUUUGACGACCAUAACCAGGGUCUCUCCACCUACUGUUUGCCAUCCACCAUGAGGUAAGUAGCUUCUGUCACAUAUUCCCACUGCAUGAUAUUUUGCUUCAUCCAGGUUUAUCUAGAACUAAUAAAGUCAGACCAUGCACACAGCCAAAAUAAAUAAUUCCUCCUGCUGA